RNAcentral lists this ribosomal RNA (455 nucleotides) under uncultured archaeon. RNAcentral's name for it is "bacterial SSU rRNA". It matches the Rfam family "Archaeal small subunit ribosomal RNA", at positions 19 to 473 of the family's 1478-position model. The record is from RNAcentral.
GGAGGUUACUGCUAUCGGUGUUCGCCUACCCUAUGCGAGUCAUAUGUUCUUCGUGAACAUGGCGUACUGCUCAGUAACACGUGAAUAACCUGCCCUUGGGACCGGCAUAACCCCGGGAAACUGGGGAUAAUUCCGGAUACCGCAUAUAUGCUGGAAUGCUUUAUGCGUGAAAUGGAUUCUUCUGCCCAAGGAUGGAUCUGCGGCCUAUCAGGUAGUAGUGGGUGUAAUGUACCUACUACCCUACAACGGGUACGGGUUGUGAAAGCAAGACCCCGGAAAUGGAUUCUGAAACAUGAAUCCAGGCCCUACGGGGCGCACCAGGCGCGAAAACUUUACAAUGCGGUAAACCGUGAUAAGGGGACACCCAGUGCCAGCAACAUUUGUUGGCUGUCCAGGUGUGUAAACUACACCUGUUAGCAAGGCCCGGGCAAGACGGGUGCCACCCGCCCCGGUAA